RNAcentral lists this unclassified non-coding RNA (345 nucleotides) under soil metagenome. RNAcentral's name for it is "partial contains 5.8S ribosomal RNA, internal transcribed spacer 2, and large subunit ribosomal RNA". The stretch from base 1 to 119 matches the Rfam family "5.8S ribosomal RNA", at positions 35 to 154 of the family's 154-position model. The record is from RNAcentral.
GAUGAAGAACGUAGCGAAAUGCGAUACGUAAUGUGAAUUGCAAAUUCAGUGAAUCAUCGAGUCUUUGAACGCACAUUGCGCCCCCUGGUAUUCCGGGGGGCAUCCCUGUCCGAGCGUCAUUGCUGCCCUCAAGCACGGCUUGUGUGUUGGGCCCCGUCCUCCGAUCCCGGGGGACGGGCCCGAAAGGCAGCGGCGGCACCGCGUCCGGUCCUCGAGCGUAUGGGGCUUUGUCACCCGCUCUGUAGGCCCGGCCGGCGCUUGCCGAUCAACCCAAAUUUUUAUCCAGGUUGACCUCGGAUCAGGUAGGGAUACCCGCUGAACUUAAGCAUAUCAAUAAGCGGAGGA